Molecule: ribosomal RNA, 253 nt
Filed under: uncultured bacterium
Lineage: Bacteria
Description: partial 16S ribosomal RNA
Rfam family: Bacterial small subunit ribosomal RNA
Source: RNAcentral
UACGUAGGGUGCAAGCGUUAAUCGGAAUUACUAGGCGUAAAGCGUGCGCAGGCGGUUCUAUAAGACAGAUGUGAAAUCCCCGGGCUCAACCUGGGAACUGCAUUUGUGACUGCAUCGCUGGAGUGCGGCAGAGGGGGAUGGAAUUCCGCGUGUAGCAGUGAAAUGCGUAGAUAUGCGGAGGAACACCGAUGGCGAAGGCAAUCCCCUGGGCCUGCACUGACGCUCAUGCACGAAAGCGUGGGGAGCAAACAGG